Molecule: ribosomal RNA, 253 nt
Filed under: uncultured bacterium
Lineage: Bacteria
Description: partial 16S ribosomal RNA
Rfam family: Bacterial small subunit ribosomal RNA
Source: RNAcentral
UACGUAGGGUGCGAGCGUUGUCCGGAAUUACUGGGCGUAAAGAGCUCGUAGGUGGUUUGUCGCGUUAUUCGUGAAAACUCACAGCUCAACUGUGGGCGUGCGGGCGAUACGGGCAGGCUGGAGUACUGCAGGGGAGACUGGAAUUCCUGGUGUAGCGGUGGAAUGCGCAGAUAUCAGGAGGAACACCGGUGGCGAAGGCGGGUCUCUGGGCAGUAACUGACGCUGAGGAGCGAAAGCGUGGGGAGCGAACAGG